GAUGAACGCUGGCGGCGUGCCUAAUACAUGCAAGUCGAGCGAACGGACGAGAAGCUUGCUUUUCUGAUGUUAGCGGCGGACGGGUGAGUAACACGUGGAUAACCUACCUAUAGGACUGGGAUAACUUCGGGAAACCGGAGCUAAUACCGGAUAAUAUUUUGAACCGCAUGGUUCAAAAGUGAAAGACGGUCUUGCUGUCACUUAUAGAUGGAUCCGCGCUGCAUUAGCUAGUUGGUAAGGUAACGGCUUACCAAGGCAACGAUGCAUAGCCGACCUGAGAGGGUGAUCGGCCACACUGGAACGGAGACACGGUCCAGACUCCUACGGGAGGCAGCAGUAGGGAAUCUUCCGCAAUGGGCGAAAGCCUGACGGAGCAACGCCGCGUGAGUGAUGAAGGUCUUCGGAUCGUAAAACUCUGUUAUUAGGGAAGAACAUAUGUGUAAGUAACUGUGCACAUCGUGACGGUACCUAAUCAGAAAGCCACGGCUAACUACGUG
RNAcentral lists this ribosomal RNA (497 nucleotides) under uncultured bacterium. RNAcentral describes it as "partial 16S ribosomal RNA". It matches the Rfam family "Bacterial small subunit ribosomal RNA", at positions 28 to 507 of the family's 1533-position model. The record is from RNAcentral.